UACAGUGACCGCGUCGAUGGUCCCGUCGUCCGUCCUGCGGACGGCGGGGGCAAGAGGGAACCCGGUGCGAGUCCGGGACUGCCCCGCAGCGGUAUCUGGGAACGACCGCCGUCAUCGAGCACUGGGCCCGAGCCGAGAUCGGCCUCGCCCGGGAAGCGACGGCCAGUAGGUGGACCUCACGCGUCCCUGCCCACGAGUCCGAAGACCUGCCACCGAUCUGCCCGGCGA
This 228-nucleotide non-coding RNA is filed under the name Auraticoccus monumenti. The record is from RNAcentral. Lineage: Bacteria; Bacillati; Actinomycetota; Actinomycetes; Propionibacteriales; Propionibacteriaceae.